ACGGGUGAGUAACGCGUGGGUAACCUGCCUCAUACACAUGGAUAACAUACCGAAAGGUAUGCUAAUACAAGAUGAUAUAAGAGAUUCGCAUGGAUUUCUUAUCAAAGCUCCGGCGGUAUGAGAUGGACCCGCGUCUGAUUAGCUAGUUGGUAAGGUAAUGGCUUACCAAGGCGACGAUCAGUAGCCGACCUGAGAGGGUGAUCGGCCACAUUGGAACUGAGACACGGUCCAAACUCCCUACGGGAGGCAGCAGUGGGGAAUAUUGCACAAUGGGCGAAAGCCUGAUGCAGCAACGCCGCGUGAGCGAUGAAGGCCUUCGGGUCGUAAAGCUCUGUCCUCAAGGAAGAUAAUGACGGUACUUGAGGAGGAAGCCCCGGCUAACUACGUG
Molecule: ribosomal RNA, 388 nt
Filed under: uncultured bacterium
Lineage: Bacteria
Description: bacterial SSU rRNA
Rfam family: Bacterial small subunit ribosomal RNA
Source: RNAcentral